Molecule: long non-coding RNA, 5052 nt
Filed under: Homo sapiens (human)
Lineage: Eukaryota; Metazoa; Chordata; Mammalia; Primates; Hominidae
Description: novel transcript
Source: RNAcentral
GCGACGUCAGAGGCGUGGGUGUUCGGCUACGUCACUGGGGCCCUACGGUGCCUGGAGCUGGGCAGUCUUCUCGUCAGAGUGGGGACUGGUAAGAGCGACCUCCCCGCCAGGUCCUGUGUGUUGCCAGCCGAAGAAGGGUAGCUGAAAAAUUCAGACCCAGCACAGUGUUUAUGUUGGUCAAAAAUAGAAAACUAUGUCUGGCGCCGCCGAGGCGGGAGGACCCUUCAGGCCAAGAGCAGCCUAGCAACAUGGCGCAACCCCAUCUCUGUAGUCCUACCUCAGCUCCCCCCAGCUGAGGGGGGCUCAGCCCCCCAGCCCUCAAGUAUGAACCCAACGGUUCAAGGCUCCAGUGAGCUAUGAUCCCAUCACAGCAUUCCAGCCUGCGAGAUUGAGAUGAUGAUUAUUCCCCACCUUCUAGGACACAAAGACCAACGAGCCACCACAGCCACCAGUCCCAGAACCCGCUAAUGCUGGGGAACGGAAAAUGAGGGAGUUCAACUCUGGCCCUCACAAUCCAGUGGAGGAGACGAAACUCAUCUGCCUCUGUCCCUCUGGGCACGCCUCAUGCCAGGUGCAUCUGUGGACAGGGGCCAUGCUCCUGGGCUUCCAAAGUUGGAGAAAGCUGCCAGGCUCAGGUCUGAAGGCCAGAAUUCUACAGUAAGUCCUACUGAGUCAAGGUGGGAGCAGGGUCGGUGGCUUCUGAGGCUCUGCGGGAGAAUCCGUUUCCUGGUCGUGGAGGUGGCCUGCACUCCUCAGCUUGUGCUGCCAGUCUCGAAUGACUGGAGUUUCCUGCUUCUGUCACUACACCUCCCACCCUCUCCAUCACCUGCUUUGCUCUUAUAAGGAUCCGGGUGGAGUCUUGCUCUGUCAUCCAGGCUGGCAGUGGCGUGGUCUUGGCUCACUGCAACGUCUGCCUCCUGGGUUCAAGUGAUUCUCCUGCCUCAGCCUCCUGAGUAGCUGGGACUACAGGCGCCCACCACCAUGCCCUGCUGUUUUGUAUUUUUGAGAAAUGGAAUAAUUGUAUCGCUCAUCUACGUAAACAAAUUGAAGAAUUGUCUGAAAGAAAAUAUGACAUGAACUUAAUGAAUUCAACAGGUGAAGAUUUACAACUUGAUAAAUCAGCUUCCUGAGCUCGAGCUGUAAAAGCCAAAGGUCCGGUGAUGAUCCCAUACCCUUUUUUCCAGUCUCAUGUUGAAGAUUUUUAUGUAGAAGGCCUUCCCAAAGGAAUUUUUUUUUUUUUUUUUUUGAGAUGGAGUUUUCACUCUUAUCGCCCAGGCUGGGGUGCAAUGGCGCAACCUUGCUGGUCACUGCAACCUCUGCCUCCUGGGUUCAAGAAAUUCUCCUGCCUUAGCCUCCCAAGUUGCUGGGAUUACAGGUGCCCACCACCACACCAGGCUAAUUUUUGUAUUUUUAGUGGAGAUGGGGUUUCACCAUGUUGGCCAGGCCAGUCUCAAACUCCUGACGUCAAGUGAUCUUCCCGCCUCGGCCUCCCAGAGUGCUGAGAUUACAGAUGUGAACCCAUGCCAGGCCAGGAAUUUUGUUUUUUAGGAAGGCUUUCUACUAAUGGAAUUCCUGGCCUUGAGAGGAUAUUACUUUCGACGGAAAGGAUUUUUUUGUUAUUAAAAGAGCCACCUAAGCUGAAGAUUCCCUUGAGAACAAGUACUGUCCUGCGGUUUCAUGGCCUUUCUUCCAUUUGUGGUUCUUGCGAAGUGGAAUUUAAAUGACAUCUUAUCAAGAUCGAUAAAUACUAGUUUCCCAGUGCUGGAAUAUAGAAAAUGGAUGGACAAGUAAAUCCCACUCAGCACCCAUAGUCCAGGCAUGGGGACCUCAACACACCUGAGCCCCAAACAUCACCUUUCAUUCUGGACCUACCAUGAAAGACUUCUGAAUCCAGGAAGAGAAACUGACUGGGCAACAUGUUAUUCAGAAACAGGACCUUGCCCUGUCACUCAGGAUGGAGUUCAAUGGUCCUAUCAUGGCUCAUUAUAGCCUUAAACUCCCAGGCUCAAGCAAUCCUACCAUGUCAGCCUUCCCAGUAGCUGGGACUACAGCUGGAGUACAGUGGCACAACCUCUGCUCAUUGCAGCCUCCACCUGCCAGGCUCAAGCAAUUCUCCUGCCUCAGCCUCCCGAGUAGCUGGGAUUACAGGAAGUGACCUCACAAUGACUCAAGCUACCACAUACUGUUGAUUGUGAAAUGCCAGUUGAAGCAUAUGUCCUGCGAGCUUAGGGGUGCUACAAGUUGACCACUGCAGCAGUAAAGAUGACUCUGAAGAAUGGCAUGGGAUGGAUCCUUUCGAAUGCACUUGAGCAGCGGUCUCCAACCACAGGGCCACAGAGCUGGAGCUGGAUCUACCAUGAAAGACUUCUGAAUCCAGGAAGAGAGACUGACUGGGCAACAUGUUAUUCAGGUACAAAAAGAUUUGGACUAACUUAAAAAUGAUCAAAUAAUAGUGCAUGCAUCAAGUGCAAUGGGAAGCUCUUCUGGAGAGUGAGAGAAGCUUCCAGUUAAGGAGAUGGGGUCUCACCCUGUCACCCAGGCUUGAGUACAGUAGUGCUAUCACAGCUCACUGCAGCCUUGAACUCCUGGGCUAAGGAUCCUCCUACCUGAGCCUCCUGAGUAGCUAGGACUGGUCUCCCUCUGUUGUCCAAGGCUGGAGUGUAGUAGUGCUAUCACAGCUGACUGCAGCCUCAACCUUCCAGGCUGAAGUGAUUCUCCCAUCUCAACCUCCCACGUGGCUGAGACUACAGGUGCUUGCCACUAUGCCCAACUAAUAUUUGGAAUUUUCAUAUAAGUGGAUUCCAGAGUGGUGACAGCAAAACGUGGGACCAUCCAGUUGCAGGAAAACAAGCUUAACAUGCCCACUGAUUCUACAUUAUGCUCCUACCUCCCGGCAGCCUCUCCAGGCCCAGAACUUUCUCCAGUCAGCCUCUACAGACCAAGCUCAUGACUCACAAUGGCCUAUUUAGGCCCAUACCCUACCUCACGGCAGUCUCCGCAGAUGAGCCUACUGCCUCACAACAGCCUCCACAGGCACAGCUCCAUCGUUACAAUGGCCUCUUUAGACCCAGCUCCUGCCUCCCAGCCUUCUCUCUAGGCCCUGAACUUUCUGAAGUCGACCUCACCAGGCCCAGCUCAUGCUUCUUUGCAGCCUCUCCAGGCCCAGCUCCUGCAUCUUGGUGGCCCCUCCAGGCCCAGCCUCUGCCUCCCGUCGGCCUCUACAGUCCCAACAUCUGCCUCAUAGCAGAUUCUUGAGGCCCAGCAUCUGCCUCACUGUGGACCCCCCAAGCCAAGCUCCCAACCUUUAGCAGCUUCUACACACCCAGCUCCUGCCACCCAGUGGCCUCUUUAGGCCAAGCUCAUGCUUCACAAGGGCCUUUCCAGGCCCAACUUUCGUCUCAUGGCAACCUUCCCUGGCCAGAUUCCUGCGUGUCUCCCAGCAGCCUAGACAGGCCCAGGUCUUGCCUCACACUGGCCUCUCUACAUCCAGCUCAUGCCUCACAGUGACCUCUCCAGGCACAGCUCCUGUCCCAGAACGUCAUCUCCGGGCCCAAAACUUACUCAAGUCAGCCUCUCUAGUCCCAACUGCUGCCUCCUGGUGGCCUAUGAAGGCCCAAAAUCUCCUCAAGUUGACCUCUCCCGGCCCAGCUCCUGCCUCCUGUCAGCGUCUACAGGCCCAACCUCUGCCUCAUGGGGGCUUCUCCAGGCCCAGCUCUUCCUCUUGGCUGAGUCUACAGGCACAACUGCUGCCUCACAACAGCCUUUUUUGGCCCAGUUCCUGUCCAGCUCAUGGCAGCCAAUGUAGGCCCAAAACUUCCUCAAGUCAUACUCUCCAGGCCCACCUUCUGCUUCCCGGUGGCAUGAACAGGCCCAGCUUUGACUUGAGAACAGCCUCUGCAGGGCCUGCUCUUGCCUCCCAGGGGCUUUUCCAAGCCCAGCUCUUGCCUCAUGGCAGCUGCCUCAGGCCAAAUUUCUUCCUGCCUGCCAGCAGCCUCAACAGGCACAGCUCCUCCCUCACGGUGGCCCAUUUAGGCCCAACUCAUGACUGUCGGGCCAUUUCCAGGCCUAGUGCCUGCCUCCUGGCUGACUCUUGAAGCCCAAAACUUCCUCAAAUCAGCCUUUUGCCCAACUUGUGUCUACUGUCGGACUCUACAGGCCAGCCUCUGCCUCACAGUGGACCCUGCAGACCCAGAUGGUGUCUCACUGUGGCAUCCUCAGGCAAAGCUCCUGCCUUUCGGCAGCCUCUACGGGGCCAGCUCCUGCCUUGCAGUGGCCUCUUCAGGCCAAGCUCAUGCCCCAUGGCGACUUUUCCAGGCACAGCUUUUGCCUUUUGCAGCCUGUCCAGGCCCAGAAUGUCCUUAACUCGGCAUCUCCAGGACGAGCUCAUCCUCCCAGUGCGUCUACAGGCCCAUCUCCUGCCUCACAACAACCUCCUUUGGCCCAACUCCUGCUGAGCUGCUGGCAGCCUCUGUAGGCCACAGACUUCUUAAAGUAAAGUUUUCCAGGCCCACCUUCGGCCUCCCAGCAGCCUCAGCAAUCAAACUAUUCCCUCACUGCGGCCACCGAAAGCCAAGUUUCUCCCUGCCUCACAGCAUCCUCCGAAAACUGAGCAUUUGCCUCACGGUGGCCUCCCCAGGCCACGAAUCUGCCUGCCUCCCAGGCAGGUGCUGCCUCACAAUGGUCUCUUUAGGCCCAGCUUAUGCUAAAAAAUGGACUCUCCAGGCACAGCUCUUGCCUCCUGUUAGCCUCUGCAGGCCCAAAUUCUCCAAAAGUUGGCCUCUCCUAACUCAGCUCCUGCCUCAUGUCGGCCUACACAGGCCCAGACUCUUACCACACAGUAGACCCUCCAGGCCCACCACUUGCCUGAUCAUAGCCUCCUGAGGCCAAGCUCCUGCCUUUCGGCAGCCUCUACAGGCCCAGCUCCUGCCUCACAGUUGCCUUUGUAGGCCAAGAUCAUGCCGCAAAGUGGCCUUUCCUAGCCUAACUUUUGCUUUUUGAUGCAUACUCCAGUCCCAAAACUUCCUCCAGUCAGCCGGUCCAGGCCAAGCUCUU